Non-coding RNA from Kogia breviceps (pygmy sperm whale), 515 nucleotides. The record is from RefSeq and is a predicted model, not a curated record. NCBI's taxonomy places the organism in Eukaryota, Metazoa, Chordata, Mammalia, Artiodactyla, Physeteridae.
AUUCGUUAUUUAAGAAUUUGUACAAUUGGGCAUCAGGUGCCAGAUGAUGACACUAUUUUUAAAUUCCCAUGUGCUGUUAAUGGGUUUUUGAAAGAAAAUAAAGAUAAUGACAGACUUAUGGGUGUCCACUGUACCCAUGGUUUAAACAGGACUGGCUACCUCAUCUGCAGAUAUUUGAUUGAUGUAGAAGGCAUGUGGCCAGAUGAUGCAAUUGAAUUAUUCAAUAGGAGCCGUGGACAUUGCUUAGAAAGACAAAACUUCAUUGAAGACCUUCAGAAUGGUCCCAUCAGAAAGUAAGUUGCAUAUUAUAUGUGAUAUUUGUGGUUAGGAAGAUCUAUUCUUAUAUCAUUUAAGUUGCACAUAUCCCUUCUUCUUGUACCUUGUUUACUUGCUCGAGGAAACCUAAACAAAUAGGAAUGGGGGGGGGAUGGAAUUGUUAUUUUCACGGGCCAAAAUAUAGUCCUAAAUUGGCUACUGAAUUUGCAGACCAGUAAUAUUUUGUGGAAACAUGCUGU